RNAcentral lists this ribosomal RNA (871 nucleotides) under uncultured bacterium. RNAcentral describes it as "bacterial SSU rRNA". It matches the Rfam family "Bacterial small subunit ribosomal RNA", at positions 28 to 895 of the family's 1533-position model. The record is from RNAcentral.
AACGAACGCUGGCGGCGUGGAUUAGGCAUGCAAGUCGUACGAUCUUCGGAUAGUGGCGAAAGGGUGAGUAACGCGUGGGUAAUUUACCCCAAGGCUCGGAAUAACACUUCGAAAGAGGUGCUAAUACCGGAGUGUUCCCGGCAACAUAAGUUGUCAGGAGGAAAGGCGGGGACCCGCAAGGGCCUGUCACCUUAGGAUAAGCCCGUGUCCUAUCAGCUUGUUGGUGAGGUAACGGCUCACCAAGGCUAUGACGGGUAGCUGGUCUAAGAGGAUGGUCAGCCACACUGGGACUGAGACACUGCCCAGACUCCUACGGGAGGCUGCAGUCGAGAAUCUUUCGCAAUGGGGGAAACCCUGACGAAGCGACGCCGCGUGAGCGAUGAAGGCCUUCGGGUUGUAAAGCUCUGUCACGUGGGACGAACGCCGGAGAUCCAACAGAUUGAAGGCUCGACUGUACCACGAGAGGAAGCCACGGCUAACUCCGUGCCAGCAGCCGCGGUAAUACGGAGGUGGCUAGCGUUGUUCGGAUUUAUUGGGUGUAAAGGGCGUGUAGGUGGCUUUGUAAGUCGGAUGUGAAAUCCCUUGGCUGAACCAAGGAACUGCAUCUGAAACUGCAUAGCUUGAGUGCAGGAGAGGAGAACGGAAUUCCCGGUGUAAGGGUGAAAAUCUGUAGAGAUCGGGAGGAACACCAGUGGCGAAGGCGGUUCUCUGGACUGCAACUGACACUGAAAUGCGAAAGCUAGGGGAGCAAACAGAAUUAGAUACUCUGGUAGUCCUAGCCGUAAACGAUGGGUACUAGGUGUAGGUCCGCGAGGAUCUGUGCCGCAGUUAACACGUUAAGUACCCCACCUGGGGACACGGCCGCAAGGCU